CAGGAAUGAAAUGGAAUCCAGUCAAACAUGGGCACUGGUUUGUGUAACACAGCUCUGCCACCGUGGGAAUUCAGGUGUUUCUGCAGGUGCCACUGAAGAGGCCGUAGGCGAGGCUGACGGUGACGGUGGAGCCGGUGCGCGAGAACCGAACCUCGCUGCUCACCCACUGCGGCGUCGCCAGCACCACGCAGAUCACCACGAAGGAGCUCACGCAGCUGCCUGUAAAAACAUCACAAAGCCUGGAGCUGCAGCUUGACAGGACACACCUCAUCUGGAGAGAGAAAGGAGAAGAGCACUUUUAAAAGACAAAUCAGACACGUUUGAAAUGUUGCUUGGAUUUCUUGCCAGAAAAUGCCCAGAAUUUCUCAGCUGAGAGCUCCAUCAUGAUGGUUGUGGAUGUCUGAGCUCUGAUGUUGGAGUGGGAUCACAGCUGGAAUAUUGUCCCUCACACAGGUGCAAUGUUGUCACCAGCCCCUCAGAGCUCAAUCCUCUCGCCCCAGCAGGAGCUGGGAAAAAAACAGGCAAAAAAAAUUGGAGUAUUUCCAAGUGGGAGUUAAAAUAAUAAAUGGAAGAUCCCAAAGCCACCACACUGGAAUCAGCACAAAUGUGCAACAUCCUGAUUUAAAGUGAUUAUUGCUGCCAGGACAUCCCGUGGAUGAGAGCUGUGCCCACUCUGGAUUUUUGGAAAAAGGCCUGAAGUGCCAGGAAAGGAGGGAAUGGCUCCAAAUUUCCAGCAAUUUACCGUUUUCAUCCCAGUACAUCAGCAAAAAGACUGAUGCAGCCCGCUCUACCAAGGGCAUCACGUUGG
Vidua chalybeata is the source of this 808-nucleotide long non-coding RNA. RefSeq lists it as uncharacterized. The transcript has 5 exons. The record is from RefSeq and is a predicted model, not a curated record. Lineage: Eukaryota; Metazoa; Chordata; Aves; Passeriformes; Viduidae.